Panicum virgatum (switchgrass) is the source of this 1679-nucleotide long non-coding RNA. RefSeq lists it as uncharacterized. The record is from RefSeq and is a predicted model, not a curated record. NCBI's taxonomy places the organism in Eukaryota, Viridiplantae, Streptophyta, Magnoliopsida, Poales, Poaceae. The transcript is spliced from 2 exons.
ACGCGGCAUCAGGCAGAUAUGUGGGAUUAGUGAAGGGCGACGAAGGCUCAGGACUUCAAGUUCAGUGGGGGAAAGAGAUGCCACUGCUGAGUCACCCAGCAACAGCAAACUCACCAGUUGGAAGAAAGAAAAGAGAGAGAGAGAGUACAAGGCGUCGAAAACUGCAAGAAGCCACGAGCCCGUCCGCGCCAGCGUCGAGCGCGCGACGCCAACGCUGGUCGGCCUGGCCCUUGUCCCUUGUCCCAGCGCGGCAACGGCGAGCUCGCCCUUGCCUGAAGCGUGUGGCGGUUCCACCAAUCCACCUGUGCGCGCCUGCGCCGGCCUGGCCGACCGGCGGCGGGUCUGCGGGGGCAUCAGAUGGCACGCCAUACCCCGCGGCGAGCUGGUCGCGUCGCUCGGCGCCGAGGACGACGCGGCGUACAUGGUCGGACACAUCGCCGAUGGCGGCCUGCCGCGCCGGCGCUGUACGACCUCAGGGUGCUCUCGGAGAGGGAGGUGACCUAAUCCCCGGCGCGCGGCGGCUCUCCGGCGAGCCCGGCGGCGUCCCCGCGACGACCGGGGUGGACGGUACUCAGAAACACCGACCGGGGGUGGACGGUGUUUCAAAUACCGUCCACCCCUGUACUGUCCUAGCCGUUGGAUCGGACACGUUCGGCCCAGAUCGGGCGAGGACUCGGUAGGCCUUGUCACUUGUCAGGCCGGCGCGGCCGUGCGGGAGCUGGAUGCCGCCAGCGCCAUGGCGGAGGCCCAGCCCGUCGCCUCGCACCUCUGGGACGUGGUGGAGCACCCCCGCGGGUUCGUCGGCCGAGGACGCGGGGAUCGACGUCGCCGCUUCCUUCGAAGGCGACCUCGGCGCCGCCAGCGCGGGCUUCCUACCGUCUGAGUUCCAUCGCGGCGCAGGAUCGGAAUCGGAGUGGACGGCGGAUGGUGGAGAGACAGAGCCACGUACACGGGUCUGUAUUGAAUCCAUGAGCUGGCUGCUGAGGUCAAGCAGCUCAUCAGCGUGAUGGAGAUCGUGACGAUGAGGUCGAUGCGGCUCGGCGACCGCGGACAGCGCCUGCGGGUUGGCAUGUUGAGGCCGAUAAGUUGUGAUGAACACCGAGCGUCGUGGGCUUGUGGCAGUGUUGUGUUUCUUCAGAUAAUUCAGAGCGCGCUCCGUAGUUGACGCCCAGGAAGUGCGCGGUCGGUGGUGUCGCGGUGGCUGUGGUGGUGGCGGCGAGCACGAGGAGGUGGAGCGAGAGGCGCGGCGACAUUGCCAUGGCUGAGGCGUGGUGCGAGUACUGCCGGACAAUAUGUGACUGAUGGACUGAUGCAAGAUCAUGGGGUCGAAGUAGGUCGUUGAGAACUUGUGCCUCACUCUGUUCGGCUGGCUGUGGCUGGUGCUGAUUUGUUGUGAGAGAAAAGUACUGUUGGCUGGCUCGUGCUGGUGGCUGGUGCUGAUUUAGUGUGAAAGAAAAACACUGUUAGCUAAUUGCAGCAGAACAGAGUGACGACUCAACCGAGCCUCAACUCUGUAGAGGCCAAGUACCCAAGUCUGACAGACAACACAACAUCAUAUUCGGAGUAUACUCAUUAUCUUAUUUGAAUUGAUAACAUACUCCCUCCAUCCUCGAAUGUAAGAUAUCGAAGAGUUCAAAAUUUGUACCCGAAUAUAAAGUAUUCCAGGAGUUUUAGACAAA